AGUAUUUUGACUAUACAAAGGUAUUGAAAUAAGACUUUAAUUGAGUGCUAAGAGAAUGGAAUUUCAUAAAAUUUCUUUUUUAAUUUUAAAAAUUGAAAUUAAUUUUAUAUGUGAAGAAACAAUAAUAAAAAUUAAGGACAAGAAGACCCUAAGAAUUUUAAAAAUUUCAAUAAAAUACAAUAUUUUAUUGAAAUUUUUUAAUUGGGGCGAUUAUUAAAUAUUAAAAACUUUAAUUUUUUAAAAAAGAACCAAUAAUAUUGGUUAUUUGAAAAAAUACUCUAGGGAUAACAGCGUAAUAAUUUUUGAUAGUUCUUAUAGACAAAAUAGUUUGCGACCUCGAUGUUGGAUUAGGAUUCUUUUUUAAUGAAGAAGUUAAAAAAAGAAGUUUGUUCAACUUUUAAAAUCCUA
This 408-nucleotide ribosomal RNA is filed under the name Amblyomma maculatum (Gulf Coast tick). Its description in RNAcentral is "partial 16S ribosomal RNA". The record is from RNAcentral. Lineage: Eukaryota; Metazoa; Arthropoda; Arachnida; Ixodida; Ixodidae.